ACACAAGCAGGCAUGUAGAGGCAGACAAGGCUGGAAAGAAGAACGGCCCCAGCCAGGGAGGCUUGGACAAUCAACUAGGCAGCUGUUCAGUGAUUCCACGACCAAGCCCCAGGCCAGGCUGCUCCUAUAGAGCUUCUGGGAUAAGACUCAGGUAUCAGAGUUCAAGGUAACUUGGCUGGCAGAGCAGAUGCUUGAGACGAGGUUUGGAGGAGCAUGUGUGGAAGAACAGCACAUAUGAAAGUGCACACGUCUGGGAAAGGGUGGAGCCUUCUGAGACCAACGCGGCUGGAACCUCAAGACGCGUGCAAAAGAGCAAAUGCAGGUUCAAGAGAACCAUGUGAUUCAUUAAAGGCCACAGCAAGCAAGUGGGCAGAUCAGGUCUCUGACUCUCAACCGCGUAGAAUUUCCAUGACCUCUUAGUGGCCUAGAAAAGUAGGACUUGCACUUGCGCCUGGUCGAACCAGAAUGCUUUCCUUUAAAGGAAUGAGGAGGGUGGUGAUGCACCAAGGAACCGACAGCUGCUCUCCACAGUGACGCAGCCAUGCUGGACAAGUUCAGACUAAACACAUAUACAUCAUUGUCUUCAUGUGUGCUUCUAAUGUGUCCGCAUCAAACUCUGGAUAGGACUCCUGGGGACAGUAAAUGGGGCUGAGACCACCUCGAAGUAAUUUGGAACGUGCGUACCUGUCAUCCGCCUGUCAGUCUUCCUGGAGUAGCGUCGGGGCAAGUCCAUGGGGGCAAUGAUUCCAUGUUUCCAUACAACCUCUAAAUGCAUCCUGCAUGACCUGGGCCCAGGCCAGCACACCAGAUCCCACUUCUAAGAAGAGAGCAUAUCAUGUGGCUGACAAGAAUUCCAGUGAAAAGAGCUGGUCACCUCUUAGCUUCUUUAAUUGUUCCUCAUAAGGGACAUUUAUGAUAUAACGAUGGGUUUUUGGAGGAACUCACAUUCAGACAGUAAUUUACUUGGUGGGGGGGGGACCUAUAAA
Molecule: long non-coding RNA, 986 nt
Organism: Bubalus bubalis (water buffalo)
Lineage: Eukaryota; Metazoa; Chordata; Mammalia; Artiodactyla; Bovidae
Exons: 5
Source: RefSeq, a predicted model, not a curated record